RNAcentral lists this ribosomal RNA (421 nucleotides) under uncultured bacterium. RNAcentral describes it as "bacterial SSU rRNA". It matches the Rfam family "Bacterial small subunit ribosomal RNA", at positions 362 to 773 of the family's 1533-position model. The record is from RNAcentral.
UAUUGGACAAUGGGGGCAACCCUGAUCCAGCGACGCCGCGUGUGUGAAGAAGGCCUGCGGGUUGUAAAGCACUUUUAGUGGGGAUGAAAAGCCGAGGGCUAAUACCUUUCGGUCUUGACCUAACCCAAAGAAAAAGCACCGGCUAACUCUGUGCCAGCAGCCGCGGUCAUACGUAGGACCCAAGCGUUAUCCGGAGUGACUGGGCGUAAAGAGUUGCGUAGGUGGUUAGUAAAGUGAAUAGUGAAAUCUGGCGGCUCAACCGUACAGGCUAUUAUUCAAACUCACUAACUCGAGAAUGGUAGAGGUAACUGGAAUUUCUAGUGUAGGAGUGAAAUCCGUAGAUAUUAGAAGGAACACCAAUGGCGUAGGCAGGUUACUGGACCAUUUCUGACACUGAGGCACGAAAGCGUGGGGAGCGAAC